Molecule: ribosomal RNA, 253 nt
Filed under: uncultured bacterium
Lineage: Bacteria
Description: partial 16S ribosomal RNA
Rfam family: Bacterial small subunit ribosomal RNA
Source: RNAcentral
UACAGAGGGGGCUAGCGUUGUUCGGAAUUACUGGGCGUAAAGGGCGCGUAGGUGGCCUGUUAAGUCGAACGUGAAAUCCCCGGGCUCAACCCGGGAACUGCGUCCGAGACUGGCAGGCUCGAAUCCGGGAGAGGGAUGUGGAAUUCCAGGUGUAGCGGUGAAAUGCGUAGAUAUCUGGAGGAACACCGAUGGCGAAGGCAGCCUUCUGGGCCAACACUGACGCUCAUGCACGAAAGCGUGGGGAGCAAACAGG